UCCUUCUUAGCUCAGUUGGUAGAGCGCGUCAGUAGUAAUGACGAGGUCAGUCGUUCAAGUCGGCUAGAAGGAA
Molecule: transfer RNA, 73 nt
Filed under: Ephemerocybe angulata
Lineage: Eukaryota; Fungi; Basidiomycota; Agaricomycetes; Agaricales; Psathyrellaceae
Description: Coprinellus angulatus tRNA-Thr
Source: RNAcentral